Molecule: long non-coding RNA, 3423 nt
Organism: Heterocephalus glaber (naked mole-rat)
Lineage: Eukaryota; Metazoa; Chordata; Mammalia; Rodentia; Bathyergidae
Source: Ensembl
CGUCACCUCUGACAGUAGCACGCUGGAGCUGGUGGGGAGUGUGGGUCAGCAAAGCCCCACUGAGGACCGGUACCUGCUUCUCCCGCGACAGCGCUGUCCAGGCAGACAGGCCUCCUUGAAGGAGGGGCGUCUGCAUCAGAGACCGCAGAGUCCUGAGAUUCAGUCAGCCCAAGAAAGUGGUCCCUACGCAUGUCCCCUGCACCAUCCCGAGGCCAGAGAUGGCUGCAGAGAAAGGACCACAGAUCUCUCCACACGCGUGGGCCCGGGGAGAAGACCUGGCCUUCGCCAGAGUGCUUGCUCCUCCUGAGACAGAGCUGGCGGGCAGAACGAGCCUGACAACACCGCAGCUGAAUCCCACGACCUGAGACCCAGAAACCCUCCUGUGCUCGGGUGGCCUGGCCACUGCUCCUGCCACUGUAGAGCCCGUGCUGGGCACCACUGAGCCAGUGCCAUGCCCGCAGUGUGACCGUGUAUGCCUGGGGACAGAUGUCAUCAGCAGAAAUAAAGUUAGGCAUGUUUUCCCCUAGACUUAUGAAUCCCUCCUCUGGAUCGGCAUGACAUUAACUGAACUCUGUCUUUACUGCUAAAAAGAAACUCCAGGUCAAAUGCAAUGCGCCAAAAACCUCAACAUGAAACCACAAGAAACAGUAAUAGAGAAAGGGGCCAACAGCAGAGCCCUGUCAGAAGACGUUUCUGUCUCAAGUGCGGAAUUCCGAGGGGGCUGGGACUUCUGCCGCCACACACUGAGCACAGGGCGCAACCCUGAGCAGUGGCCCCUGCAGCUGAAGACCAGGGCGGCUCGCAUCCACAGACGGGACGUGGGGGCCAGCUGACGCCCUCUCACCCAGGCCAGCGGGACCCAGCCUGGGAACAGCACUCAGAGGCCAAGAGAAACGACCCAGGCAGCGCAGGCCCAAAGCAAGGGGAGGGUCCAGAGAGAAGACGCUACACCAGUGUGGUAGCAUACGCUUGUAGCCCAGCAUUCAAGAGACUGAGGCUGGACGAUGCCAAGAGUCGGAGGCCAGCCUGGGCUAUGCAGUGACACCCUAUCUCCAAAAAAGCAAAUAAAUGACGAUGCCAACUGUCUUUAUCUGUUUCCUCUUGCUGCAGAACACCUGAGACUAGGCUCCAGCGCCAGAGUUUGGAGGAGCUCACUCAAACCCCAGCACAGCCAGAGGGAGAAGCCCUGCGCAGUGUGGUCAAGGAGGGGCGGAGUCAGAGGAUGACACCUAGAUGCCAUGGCUAGACAGGUCCAGGGCUGGAGGAGGACAUGAGGGCACACACUCACCAUCCACUUCCAUGAGCCUCAGCCGCGCCGAGCAGGUGUCCGUCCACCUGCAGCUGGGCAAAGCACAGGGCUGCACUCGCCAUGGCCACACGGUGCAGGAGGCAGAGCUGGGCACAUCUCUCAGAAACGUCUUCGGCGCACAUGGGCUGACCCAGCUUUUCUCAGGGCGUCACAGCCCAGCCCUGCCCAGGACACGCUUGGGACUGCGGCCACCUCUGCACUGUCGCCCUGCUCCUGGGAGCUGAGUCCUGGGGGUUCCUCUGCUUUCACCCUGGCGGCGGACUUGCCAAGCCUCCCCACUGGUCACAGGCCACAGCCCCUGCUUCCCACUGCCGCAGCCAUGGCUCCAAGGGACCACCCUUCAGCUUCCAGCCGCACUGCACAUGCCUGGACCACCCUGCCCUUUCUUCCAGCCUGAGCAGCUCUCCCAGCCUCCAGCUGUGGCCGGGACGGCGGUGGCAGAAAAGGCCGACGCAUAUUUACAGCGCUGCUGCCCCACAGCUGGAUGCCCAGGCCAGGAGUGUGACCCUGAAACACAGCUCUGGGACCAGCUGGGUCCCUGCUGGCCCACGCAGGGCACUCAGUGCUCCCACACCUGUGUGCUGCACACUGAGAGGUCUGGACACCCCCCACCCCAGGACCCCAAGCAGGAAAUCAGGUAGCGAAAUGAAAGGCAGGGGGAACUGCGAGUGUAGCAGGGCCAGAGAGGCUCUCUCUCCACACAGCCCCCUGGGCCAUCCUGGUCCUCGUGGGUAAUUUGCCCUCUCUAUCCACGGGUUCUGCAUUGGUGGAUUCAGCCAACUACAAUCGAUCGACUGGGGAUGUUCAGGGAAACACUGCACCCACACUGAACACUGAGGCCUUUUGUCUCCUCGUUAUUCUCAAAGUAAUACAAUGGAACAACUAUUCAUACAGCUUUUACCCUGCACCAUGCACAGAAGUGACCUGGAGGUAUUUAAAGUACUCAGGAGGAUGUGCGCAGAUUAUAUGCAAAUACUGUGCCGCUUUACGCCAGGGGCCUGUGCCACGACAGGUUUUGGUGUCCUUGGGCUCCUAGAACCAAUCCCAAAGGCACAGGGAGGACUGCAGCUGGGGCAUGUGCAGCACCCCGUGUGAGGCCCUGGCCCUGGCCCCUGGAUGGCGGGACAGGAACCACACACGCCACCCCGUCUCACGGGAACCCUAGCUCGGAUGGGACUGGCAGUGCAAAGGCGACCAUCGGGGUGUGCGCGCCCAGCUCUGCACUGUCCUCUGCUCUGUCCUUCCCGACACUUCACUCCGUCAGCGCACUCUCACCCCUGUCCAUCUUGGCCUAGUCUUCAAAUUUGUGGUAGAAAUCACAUUAGUUUCAAUUUUCUUCGAUUUCACAGUUAUUUAUUCUUUCCAACAUCUUAUUUAAAAACAGAAAAAACUCGAAACUGACUGCGUUCGUUCCUCUGAACCUUUAACACCCUCCUCUGGGUUCUCUCUCCCUCCCUCCCGCUUCCCUCUCUCCUAAUGUUCGUCCAGCAUCCCCACUGCAAGGCCCAUCCGGACCAGGGCCUGUGCCUGUGCUAGGACAUGUAAGAGCGUCCUUGCUCUAAACAUGCUCCCCAGUGCCCCAAGGACAGGGGACGGGCGGGGCCGAUGCAAAAGAAACUUCAACCCAGUGCAGUAGCCAGGCCUUCUGCUGCCUGCUGUGCUGUGCGGGGGCCACUGCUUGGGACGAGGACCAGAGUAGCUGGGAAGGGGACUCACAAGCUGUCGCCCAGGCUGACGUGAUGGUUCUCAGCAGACAGAACAGCGGACCAAACACUUGGAGAUGAGCUGCACAUACAAGGAACUCCAAUGGGCAUAAUUAAUCAACUGGAAAUUAAUACACAAAACACCCCUUCCCGGUUUGGAGCAUUUCCUCCCCGUGCCAGGAAGCCAGCUAAGCUCGAUGUCCAAGCUUUCUCAUUCAGUGCCUGCAGCAAUCUCGUGAGACAGGCACUGAUGCGUCCUAGUCUAGAUACGCAGAAACGAGGCUUGGUGAAGUUGAGCCAUCUGUCCAAGACUGGAUUUCCAAACAGCGCUGAGUACCUGACCACGGACAAGCUGAUUCACCUUUUGCACCUGGGUUUCAUCUACAAGAUGUGGAUGUGAGCAUCAGCCAG